GAUCUCCCUCGGGGGAAGCAGGGGAUCUUCGGACCUUGCGCUAUGAUAGCCUAGUAGAUUAGCUAGUUGGUGGGGUAAAGGCCUACCAAGGCGACGAUCUGUAGCGGGUCUGAGAGGAUGAUCCGCCACACUGGGACUGAGACACGGCCCAGACUCCUACGGGAGGCAGCAGUGGGGGAUAUUGGACAAUGGGCGAAAGCCUGAUCCAGCCAUGCCGCGUGUGUGAAGAAGGCCUUUUGGUUGUAAAGCACUUUAAGCGAGGAGGAGGCUACUGAGAUUAAUACUCUUGGAUAGUGGACGUUACUCGCAGAAUAAGCACCGGCUAACUCUGUGCCAGCAGCCGCGGUAAUACAGAGGGUGCGAGCGUUAAUCGGAUUUACUGGGCGUAA
RNAcentral lists this ribosomal RNA (389 nucleotides) under uncultured bacterium. Its description in RNAcentral is "bacterial SSU rRNA". It matches the Rfam family "Bacterial small subunit ribosomal RNA", at positions 187 to 563 of the family's 1533-position model. The record is from RNAcentral.